AGUGAACGCUGGCGGUAGGCCUAACACAUGCCAGUCGAACGGCAGCACAGUAAGAGCUUGCUCUUACGGGUGGCGAGUGGCGGACGGGUGAGGAAUACAUCGGAAUCUACUUUUUCGUGGGGGAUAACGUAGGGAAACUUACGCUAAUACCGCAUACGACCUACGGGUGAAAGCAGGGGAUCUUCGGACCUUGCGCGAUUGAAUGAGCCGAUGUCGGAUUAGCUAGUUGGCGGGGUAAAGGCCCACCAAGGCGACGAUCCGUAGCUGGUCUGAGAGGAUGAUCAGCCACACUGGAACGGAGACACGGUCCAGACUCCUACGGGAGGCAGCAGUGGGGAAUAUUGGACAAUGGGCGCAAGCCUGAUCCAGCCAUACCGCGUGGGUGAAGAAGGCCUUCGGGUUGUAAAGCCCUUUUGUUGGGAAAGAAAAGCAGCAGGUUAAUACCCCGCUGUUCUGACGGUACCCAAAGAAUAAGCACCGGCUAACUUCGUG
Molecule: ribosomal RNA, 492 nt
Filed under: uncultured bacterium
Lineage: Bacteria
Description: partial 16S ribosomal RNA
Rfam family: Bacterial small subunit ribosomal RNA
Source: RNAcentral